Molecule: ribosomal RNA, 468 nt
Filed under: uncultured bacterium
Lineage: Bacteria
Description: partial 16S ribosomal RNA
Rfam family: Bacterial small subunit ribosomal RNA
Source: RNAcentral
GACGAACGCUGGCGGCGUGCUUAACACAUGCAAGUCGAACGGAAAGGCCCUGCUUUUGUGGGGUGCUCGAGUGGCGAGCGGGUGAGUAACACGUGAGUAACCUGCCCUUGACUUUGGGAUAACUCCAGGAAACUGGGGCUAAUACCGGAUAGGAGCUCCUGCUGCAUGGUGGGGGUUGGAAAGUUUCGGCGGUUGGGGAUGGACUCGCGGCUUAUCAGCUUGUUGGUGGGGUAGUGGCUUACCAAGGCUUUGACGGGUAGCCGGCCUGAGAGGGUGACCGGCCACAUUGGGACUGAGAUACGGCCCAGACUCCUACGGGAGGCAGCAGUGGGGAAUAUUGCACAAUGGGCGGAAGCCUGAUGCAGCAACGCCGCGUGCGGGAUGACGGCCUUCGGGUUGUAAACCGCUUUCGCCUGUGACGAAGCGUGAGUGACGGUAAUGGGUAAAGAAGCACCGGCUAACUACGUG